This 265-nucleotide ribosomal RNA is filed under the name uncultured archaeon. RNAcentral's name for it is "partial 16S ribosomal RNA". It matches the Rfam family "Archaeal small subunit ribosomal RNA", at positions 717 to 982 of the family's 1478-position model. The record is from RNAcentral.
ACACGACUACAUUAGAUACCCCUGUAGUCCUAGCCGUAAACGAUACUCGCUAGGUGUCGGCCACGGUGCGACCGUUGUCGGUGCCGUAGGGAAGCCGUGAAGCGAGCCACCUGGGAAGUACGGCCGCAAGGAUGAAACUUAAAGGAAUUGGCGGGGGAGCACCGCAACGGGAGGAGCGUGCGGUUCAAUUGGAUUCAACGCCGGACAACUCACCAGGAGCGACGGUUACAUGAAGGCCAGGCUGAUGACCUUGCCUGAUUUUCCG